UGCAGCGGCGGCGGUGGGAGAGGCUGGGUGAUGGGAAUGUCAUCUGCGAUUCCAUUAUCUCCUCCUGCCUGCCGCUUUCUGGUUCCUUGUGAAACCUUCAUCAAAACCUGGCGAUCUAAUUAGGACAAUUAGAGCGCGCGGACAGCUGAAACCCGCCCAGAGCCGCAGCGGCGAGAGGGGCACCCGGCUUUGGGGCGGGGUUUGAGGGGUUUUUGGGAUUAUUUUGGCUCUGCGGGGGGGGGUGGAUGGGAUGGGGGGAGGGUCUCAGCCCCCCGGAGAUGCUUUUGGGGUGCACGGCCCCAAGAGUGACCUCAGGGCUGUGUCCAGCCAGGGGACAGGGAGGCUGUGCGUGCUGGUGACACCGCCGUGUGCCACCUCGCUGGCUGUCACCGGGGGUCUCAGCGCCUCGCUGGGGGCAGCUGCCACCCCUGCCCGUGUCACACGCUGUCCCCCAUGCCCGGGGUGCCUCUCGGCUCGGGGAUCCUCAUUGGCAUUCGGCGGGCGCGCCGCGGCAGCUGGCGGGUGGCAGCGGAAUGACAGCGGUGACAGGGAGAUAUUUGCAUCGCCUCGGAGAUAUUUGCAUCGCCUCGGAGGCCCUUCCCGGAGGGAUGGCAUUUGUCAGCGGCGUUAUGGAUGCAGCGCGUCCCCUCUCCUGACACCGCCUGCCCAUUAGCGGGAGCACAUCCCGCUCCUCCAGCCCUGCCCGGAGCAGCUCCAGGCGCAGGAGCAGAGAUCCAUCUUCCCGGCGGGCCCCGCCACCGCCCCGCUCCCCAUCGGCAUCCGCCGCCGCCGCCUCCCGGUCCGAGUCCUCGGGGCCGCGGCCUUGAUUGCAUCCUGGUGCUCCCAUAAAUCAGCGAUCCCAUAAA
Molecule: non-coding RNA, 866 nt
Organism: Taeniopygia guttata (zebra finch)
Lineage: Eukaryota; Metazoa; Chordata; Aves; Passeriformes; Estrildidae
Source: RefSeq, a predicted model, not a curated record